This 460-nucleotide ribosomal RNA is filed under the name uncultured bacterium. Its description in RNAcentral is "partial 16S ribosomal RNA". It matches the Rfam family "Bacterial small subunit ribosomal RNA", at positions 338 to 795 of the family's 1533-position model. The record is from RNAcentral.
CCUACGGGAGACAGCAGUGAGGAAUAUUGGUCAAUGGCCGUAAGGCUGAACCAGCCAAGUCGCGUGAAGGAAGAAGGAUCUAUGGUUUGUAAACUUCUUUUAUAGGGGAAUAAAGGUAUCCACGUGUGGAUAUUUGCAUGUACCCUAUGAAUAAGCAUCGGCUAACUCCGUGCCAGCAGCCGCGGUAAUACGGAGGAUGCGAGCGUUAUCCGGAUUUAUUGGGUUUAAAGGGUGCGUAGGUUGUUUUUUAAGUCAGCGGUGAAAGUUUGUGGCUCAACCAUAAAAUUGCCGUUGAAACUGGAAGACUUGAGUGUGUUUGAGGUAGGCGGAAUGCGUGGUGUAGCGGUGAAAUGCAUAGAUAUCACGCAGAACUCCGAUUGCGAAGGCAGCUUACUAAGCCAUAACUGACACUGAAGCACGAAAGCGUGGGGAGCAAACAGGAUUAGAUACCCCAGUAGUC